UGCGUAGGUGGUUAUAUAAGUCAGUUGUGAAAGCCCUCGGCUCAACCGAGGAAUUGCAUCUGAUACUGUAUAACUUGAGAUUAUGAGGGGUGAGUGGAAUUCCAGGUGUAGCGGUGAAAUGCGUAGAUAUCUGGGAGAACGCCAACGGCGAAGGCAACUCACUGGCGUAAUACUGACACUGAGGCACGAAAGCGUGGGGAGCAAACAGGAUUAGAUACCCUGGUAGUC
This 228-nucleotide ribosomal RNA is filed under the name uncultured bacterium. RNAcentral's name for it is "partial 16S ribosomal RNA". It matches the Rfam family "Bacterial small subunit ribosomal RNA", at positions 568 to 795 of the family's 1533-position model. The record is from RNAcentral.